UACGUAGGGCGCAAGCGUUAUCCGGAAUUAUUGGGCGUAAAGAGCUCGUAGGCGGUUUGUCGCGUCUGCCGUGAAAGUCCGGGGCUCAACUCCGGAUCUGCGGUGGGUACGGGCAGACUAGAGUGAUGUAGGGGAGACUGGAAUUCCUGGGUGUAGCGGUGAAAUGCGCAGAUAUCAGGAGGAACACUGAUGGCGAAGGCAGGUCCUC
This 208-nucleotide ribosomal RNA is filed under the name uncultured bacterium. RNAcentral describes it as "partial 16S ribosomal RNA". It matches the Rfam family "Bacterial small subunit ribosomal RNA", at positions 524 to 730 of the family's 1533-position model. The record is from RNAcentral.